GACGAACGCUGGCGGCGGGCUUAACACAUGCAAGUCGAACGGCAAGGCCCUGCUUUUGUGGUGUGCUCGAGUGGCGAACGGGUGAGUAACACGUGAGUAACCUGCCCUUCACUUUGGGAUAACUUCAGGAAACGGGGGCUAAUACCGUAUAGGAGCUCCUGCUGCGUUGUGGGGGUUGGAAAUUUUCGGCGGGUGGGGCUGGACGCGCGGCUUAUCAGCUUGUUGGUGGGGUAGUGGCUUACCCAGGCUUUGGCGGGUAGCCGGCAGGAGAGGGUGAACGGCCACAAUGGGCCUGAGAUACGGACCAGAGUCCUACGGGAGGCAGCAGUGGGAAAUAUUGCACAAUGGGAGGAAGCCUGAUGAAGCAACGCCGCGUGCGGGAUGACGGCCUUCGGGUUGUAAACCGCUUUCGCCUGUGACGAAGCGUGAGUGACGGUAAUGGGUAAAGAAGCACCGGCUAACUACGUG
Molecule: ribosomal RNA, 468 nt
Filed under: uncultured bacterium
Lineage: Bacteria
Description: partial 16S ribosomal RNA
Rfam family: Bacterial small subunit ribosomal RNA
Source: RNAcentral